AACACAUGCAAGUCGAGGGGCAGCAUGGUCUUAGCUUGCUAAGGCUGAUGGCGACCGGCGCACGGGUGAGUAACACGUAUCCAACCUGCCGUCUACUCUUGGCCAGCCUUCUGAAAGGAAGAUUAAUCCAGGAUGGCAUCAUGAGUUCACAUGUCCGCAUGAUUAAAGGUAUUUUCCGGUAGACGAUGGGGAUGCGUUCCAUUAGAUAGUAGGCGGGGUAACGGCCCACCUAGUCAACGAUGGAUAGGGGUUCUGAGAGGAAGGUCCCCCACAUUGGAACUGAGACACGGUCCAAACUCCUACGGGAGGCAGCAGUGAGGAAUAUUGGUCAAUGGGCGAUGGCCUGAACCAGCCAAGUAGCGUGAAGGAUGACUGCCCUAUGGGUUGUAAACUUCUUUUAUAAAGGAAUAAAGUCGGGUAUGCAUACCCGUUUGCAUGUACUUUAUGAAUAAGGAUCGGCUAACUCCGUGCCAGCAGCCGCGGUAAUACGGAGGAUCCGAGCGUUAUCCGGAUUUAUUGGGUUUAAAGGGAGCGUAGAUGGAUGUUUAAGUCAGUUGUGAAAGUUUGCGGCUCAACCGUAAAAUUGCAGUUGAUACUGGAUGUCUUGAGUGCAGUUGAGGCAGGCGGAAUUCGUGGUGUAGCGGUGAAAUGCUUAGAUAUCACGAAGAACUCCGAUUGCGAAGGCAGCCUGCUAAGCUGCAACU
RNAcentral lists this ribosomal RNA (704 nucleotides) under uncultured Bacteroidales bacterium. RNAcentral describes it as "bacterial SSU rRNA". It matches the Rfam family "Bacterial small subunit ribosomal RNA", at positions 50 to 741 of the family's 1533-position model. The record is from RNAcentral. Lineage: Bacteria; Pseudomonadati; Bacteroidota; Bacteroidia; Bacteroidales.